Molecule: ribosomal RNA, 812 nt
Filed under: uncultured bacterium
Lineage: Bacteria
Description: bacterial SSU rRNA
Rfam family: Bacterial small subunit ribosomal RNA
Source: RNAcentral
UCGAGGGGCAGCGAGUAGAUUGCUUGCAAUCUACGUCGGCGACCGGCGCACGGGUGCGUAACGCGUAUGCAACCUACCCAUUACAGGGGGAUAACACUGAGAAAUCGGUACUAAUACCCCAUAACAUCCAGGGAGGCAUCUUCUUGGGUUGAAAACUCCGGUGGUAAUGGAUGGGCAUGCGUUGUAUUAGUUAGUUGGUGGGGUAACGGCUCACCAAGACAACGAUACAUAGGGGGACUGAGAGGUUAACCCCCCACAUUGGUACUGAGACACGGACCAAACUCCUACGGGAGGCAGCAGUGAGGAAUAUUGGUCAAUGGACGCAAGUCUGAACCAGCCAUGCCGCGUGCAGGAAGACGGCUCUAUGAGUUGUAAACUGCUUUUGUACGAGGGUAAACGCAGAUACGUGUAUCUGUCUGAAAGUAUCGUACGAAUAAGGAUCGGCUAACUCCGUGCCAGCAGCCGCGGUAAUACGGAGGAUUCAAGCGUUAUCCGGAUUUAUUGGGUUUAAAGGGUGCGUAGGCGGUCGGAUAAGUUAGAGGUGAAAUCCCGAGGCUCAACUUCGGAAUUGCCUCUGAUACUGUUCGGCUAGAGAGUAGUUGCGGUAGGCGGAAUGUAUGGUGUAGCGGUGAAAUGCUUAGAGAUCAUACAGAACACCGAUUGCGAAGGCAGCUUACCAAGCUACUUCUGACGUUGAGGCACGAAAGCGUGGGGAGCAAACAGGAUUAGAUACCCUGGUAGUCCACGCAGUAAACGAUGAUAACUCGUUGUCGGCGAUACAAUGUCGGUGACUAAGCGAAAGCGAUAAGUUA